RNAcentral lists this ribosomal RNA (535 nucleotides) under uncultured bacterium. Its description in RNAcentral is "partial 16S ribosomal RNA". It matches the Rfam family "Bacterial small subunit ribosomal RNA", at positions 356 to 900 of the family's 1533-position model. The record is from RNAcentral.
UGGGAAUAUUGCACAAUGGGCGAAAGCCUGAUGCAGCGACGCCGCGUGCGGGAUGAAGGCCUUCGGGUUGUAAACCGCUUUUGAUUGGGAGCAAGCGAGAGUGAGUGUACCUUUCGAAUAAGCACCGGCUAACUACGUGCCAGCAGCCGCGGUAAUACGUAGGGUGCAAGCGUUAUCCGGAAUUAUUGGGCGUAAAGAGCUCGUAGGCGGUUUGUCGCGUCUGGUGUGAAAGUCCAUCGCUUAACGGUGGAUCUGCGCCGGGUACGGGCAGGCUAGAGUGCGACAGGGGAGACUGGAAUUCCCGGUGUAACGGUGGAAUGUGUAGAUAUCGGGAAGAACACCAAUGGCGAAGGCAGGUCUCUGGGUCGUCACUGACGCUGAGGAGCGAAAAGCGUGGGGAGCGAACAGGAUUAGAUACCCUGGUAGUCCACGCCGUAAACGGUGGAUGCUGGAUGUGGGGCCCAUUCCACGGGUUCCGUGUCGGAGCUAACGCGUUAAGCAUCCCGCCUGGGGAGUACGGCCGCAAGGCUAAAAC